AACGAACGCUGGCGGCGUGCCUAACACAUGCAAGUCGUGCGAGAAAGUUCCUUCGGGAGCGAGUAAAGCGGCGCACGGGUGAGUAACACGUAGGUAACCUGCCCCCCAGUCUGGAACGAACUAGAGGAAACGUACUAGCUAAUGCCGGAUGAGACCACGAUCCCUUCGGGGGUUGCGGCCAAAGAUGGCCUCUACUUGUAAGCUAUCGCUGAGGGAUGGGCCUGCGGGCCAUUAGCUUGUUGGUGAGGUAACGGCUCACCAAGGCUGUGAUGGCUAGCUGGUCUGAGAGGAUGACCAGCCACACUGGGACUGAGACAC
RNAcentral lists this ribosomal RNA (318 nucleotides) under uncultured bacterium. RNAcentral's name for it is "bacterial SSU rRNA". It matches the Rfam family "Bacterial small subunit ribosomal RNA", at positions 29 to 327 of the family's 1533-position model. The record is from RNAcentral.